CCCCACGGGUGUGUUAUAGCCCUCGGUCGUAUGCGAAGGUGGGGAUCGAGGACCGCAGCGUGCCCCUUUGCGGGGGCCGGGGUUCGCCCACGUAACGCGCUUAGGAUGCUGGCGUAAUGGCUUUAAGCGACCCGUCUUGAAACACGGACCAAGGAGUCUAACAUGCCUGCGAGUGUUUGGGUGGAAAACCCGGACGCGCAAUGAAAGUGAAACGGUCGGGACCUCUGUCGUGGAGGGCACCGACGCCCGGACCAGACCUCUUGUGACGGUUCCGAGGUAGAGCACGUAUGUUGGGACCCGAAAGAUGGUGAACUAUGCCUGAGUAGGGUGAAGCCAGAGGAAACUCUGGUGGAGGCUCGUAGCGAUUCUGACGUGCAAAUCGAUCGUCGAACUUGGGUAUAGGGCGAAAGACUAA
Molecule: ribosomal RNA, 415 nt
Filed under: Hysterangium sp. PDD 69213
Lineage: Eukaryota; Fungi; Basidiomycota; Agaricomycetes; Hysterangiales; Hysterangiaceae
Description: eukaryotic LSU rRNA
Rfam family: Eukaryotic large subunit ribosomal RNA
Source: RNAcentral